RNAcentral lists this long non-coding RNA (467 nucleotides) under Ananas comosus (pineapple). Its description in RNAcentral is "long non-coding RNA (ACOM_LNC021362)". Lineage: Eukaryota; Viridiplantae; Streptophyta; Magnoliopsida; Poales; Bromeliaceae. The record is from RNAcentral.
CUUCAAACUUGUCCUUUUAAUAAUUGAAUUAGUAGUUAUGGUUCAGUGGUUUGCUUAAACUGGAUAAAUGGGAUUUUGUGAAUGUAAUAAAGAACUUAUGGUUUUCUUUGAGAUGAAAACGAUUUUUCUACCCCUCGUGGUGGCGUAUUUUAAGAAAAAAGUUUCUGUGUGGGAAACGGUUUUAAAAAGGAUUUUUUGAUUUUCUUGGUUCCUAGUAUUUCAAAAUGAGUUUCCGGGUAGGAAAUGUUUUAAACUAAUAGUUGAAAUGAUGAAUAUCUGUGAUGAAUUGAAUGGUGAAUGUAUGUGAAUGUUCAUACUGUUAUGGUUGUAUCUUGUACUUGUGCGGCGCCGUGCAAAUACAGGGGAGACUCUGUCCGUGUGAACAGUGGACUCCCUAUAUUUGUGGAAGAUCUGGCAUACCCUAGGAGUCAAGAUUUAAAAAAAAAAAAAAAAUUGGGCACUUCCGC